Molecule: ribosomal RNA, 790 nt
Filed under: uncultured archaeon
Lineage: Archaea
Description: bacterial SSU rRNA
Rfam family: Archaeal small subunit ribosomal RNA
Source: RNAcentral
ACUGCUCAGUAACACGUAGUCAACAUGCCCAGGGGACGUGGAUAACCUCGGGAAACUGAGGAUAAACCGCGAUAGGCCAAGAUUUCUGGAAUGAAUCAUGGUUUAAAUCUAUAUGGCCCCUGGAUUGGACUGCGGCCGAUCAGGCUGUUGGUGAGGUAAUGGCCCACCAAACCUGUAACCGGUACGGGCUCUGAGAGGAGGAGCCCGGAGAUGGGCACUGAGACAAGGGCCCAGGCCCUAUGGGGCGCAGCAGGCGCGAAACCUCUGCAAUAGGCGAAAGCUUGACAGGGUUACUCUGAGUGAUUCCCGCUAAGGGAAUCUUUUGGCAUCUCUAAAAACGAUGUAGAAUAAGGGGUGGGCAAGUCUGGUGUCAGCCGCCGCGGUAAUACCAGCACCCCGAGUGGUCGGGACGAUUAUUGGGCCUAAAGCAUCCGUAGCCGGUCUUGCAAGUCUUCCGUUAAAUCCACCUGCUUAACAGAUGGGCUGCGGAAGAUACUACAAGACUAGGAGGCGGGAGAGGCAAGCGGUACUCAGUGGGUAGGGGUAAAAUCCUCUGAUCCAUUGAAGACCACCAGUGGCGAAGGCGGCUUGCCAGAACGCGCUCGACGGUGAGGGAUGAAAGCUGGGGGAGCAAACCGGAUUAGAUACCCGGGUAGUCCCAGCUGUAAACGAUGCAGACUCGGUGAUGGGCCGGCUUCAUGCCGGCUCAGUGCCGCAGGGAAGCCGUUAAGUCUGCCGCCUGGGGAGUACGGUCGCAAGACUGAAACUUAAAGGAAUUGGCGGGGGAGCA